RNAcentral lists this small RNA (134 nucleotides) under uncultured Pradoshia sp. RNAcentral describes it as "Ribosomal protein L10 leader". It matches the Rfam family "Ribosomal protein L10 leader". Rfam says of the family: This family is a putative r-protein leader autoregulatory structure found in B. subtilis and other low-GC Gram-positive bacteria. It is located in the 5' untranslated regions of mRNAs encoding ribosomal proteins L10 and L12 (rplJ-rplL). The record is from RNAcentral. Lineage: Bacteria; Bacillati; Bacillota; Bacilli; Caryophanales; Bacillaceae.
AACUUAACAUUUAUGCCAUAGACAGCAGGUGCUGAUAAAGCUUAAUUUCCUGCCGAGGUAUUCGAUCAUAAUAGAACUAUUUUGUUCGGACUAUCAUCGUACCUCCAUGUCUAGUUUAGAUAUGGAGGUUUUUU